UACGUAGGGCGCAAGCGUUGUCCGGAAUUAUUGGGCGUAAAGGGCUCGUAGGCGGUUCGUCACGUCGGGAGUGAAAACUCGGAGCUCAACUCCGAGCCUGCUUCCGAUACGGGCAGACUAGAGGUAGGCAGGGGAGAGCGGAACUCCUGGUGUAGCGGUGGAAUGCGCAGAUAUCAGGAAGAACACCGGUGGCGAAGGCGGCUCUCUGGGCCUUACCUGACGCUGAGGAGCGAAAGCGUGGGUAGCGAACAGG
Molecule: ribosomal RNA, 253 nt
Filed under: uncultured bacterium
Lineage: Bacteria
Description: partial 16S ribosomal RNA
Rfam family: Bacterial small subunit ribosomal RNA
Source: RNAcentral